CUAUUUGUGGCAUGUAUUUGUGGUGUUGGAGGAACUUUGACAGCAAUUGAUAAUCUUGGUCAGAUAGGAACAUCACUAAGAUAUCCAAAGAAAAGCAUAAGCACUUUUGUGUCUUUAGUAAGCAUUUGGAAUUAUCUAGGACGUGUUUUCUCAGGAUUUGUUUCUGAACAUUUUCUAACAAAGUACAGAUUUCCUCGUCCUCUUAUGCUUACUUUAACACUCUUUGUCUCAUGUGUUGGACACCUUCUGAUAGCAUUUGAUGUGCCAGAGGGUCUCUACGUAGCUUCAGUGAUUAUUGGAUUUUGUUUUGGUGCUCAAUGGCCAUUACUUUUUGCCAUUAUAUCAGAACUUUUUGGACUUAAAUAUUAUGCAACUUUGUAUAAUUUUGGAAGUGUAGCAAGUCCCCUUGGAUUAUAUGUGCUUAAUGUGAAGAUCGCUGGUCAUUUGUAUGACAAAGAAGCAAAGAAGCAAUUGGAAGCACUUGGAAAGCAAAGAAUAGAAGGGCAGGAAUUGAAUUGUGUUGGUGUUGAUUGUUACAAGUUAUCUUUCAUUAUUAUCACAGCUGCAACAUUUUUUGGUGCUGUUGUUUCACUUAUUUUGGUGGCUAGGACCAGAAAGUUUUACAAAGGUGACAUAUACAAGAGAUAUAGGGAAGAAGCUGAAAUGGUGGAGGUAAAGAACGUAGAAAAGACAGAGGAAGAUGACAAAGUUGGUCAACAGCAGCAUGUUGCGACAACUUGGAAUUAGGACAAAUGGUUAAGGACGAUAUUAUAGAUCAUAGAUCAUAUAAGUGUAAACAUGAAAUUUAAAAUUUGUCAUACAUAUUAUAAAGUAUAAUUGUAGCUUUAUGUGUGUUUGUUUUUCUUUGUAGUGAUGUAUACUUGUCAUUUUCUUUUGUCACACAUUCAAAGAAAAGAAACUUGAUUGCAUUGUUAUACAAUAAUUUAAUGCAAUAUGUCCGGUUAGCAUGAUUGUGUAGGAUUGAGACCUCGAAGUAUGCUUAAUUCAAAGUCUGAGAUUUGAUUCCCUCGUGUGUUAACAAUUAUUCUGUUGGAUCAGUCCAUACAGAGUUGUGCAGCUCUUACUUCAAUCGGGAUGAUCUCGCUAAAGGAUGGUGAAAUUGGUUCGUUGGAUUAAUGGGUGCUUAGCCGGACACUGAAUUUUUUUUUCUUAAAAAAAAAAAAAACUAUAGUUUAAUGCAGAUUUGCUCCUUUACUUACAUGCACGUUGAUGGUUUGAGGCUGUGUGUUCCAAACAUGUUUGAACGAAUCCAUGUUAACUAAUGUAUUGGUGCUGUCAGUAAACCAAGACCUCUGUGGAAUCGAGAUCAUUUCCAAUAUUUCAACUCCGAAGUUAUGACUUAUUUAGGUUAGAACGAUGAAUCUGUUCAUUUUUAAAUUUUAAUAGGCAACAUGAUUAGAUUAAAAUUUGGAUUCAACCAAAAGGGACAAAAAUUAAACUUUUUAACUUUAUUAAAUUAAACCAAAUUAAUUCUUAAACCCUAAUAUCAAUCAUGUUAAUUAUCAAAACUAGUGAAUUAAUAUGCGGACACAUACCUGAAUUUAUUCAUAAUCACUGAGUCUCCUUGUGAUAAUGAGAUGCAACCGUGAAGUUUGGUACGAUAUUCUCCAUAGACAACUAUCGACUCUGAACUCUUUCUUUAACAACAAGGAACUUGAUCUUUAUGUGUUUCAACUUCGUCGAUUUUCUGUUGUUAUUGGAAAUAUACAUGUUGAUUUACUGUCACAAUAACUUUAGUGUAUUUUUAUAUAAAAAAAAAAACUCCACAUCCACUAUGUCCAUCCCUGUAACAAAGCUUCGCAAUUGUCUCAAAACAUGUUAUCUUUGCAUCCAACAAAAUCAGAGUCAGUAUAUCCAAUGUUCUGAAGCUGAUCUAACCUCUGAUAUGCGAGAAUGUAGUCUUUUGUUCUCUUUAAAUAUUGCAUGACUUAUUUCGUUGCUUUCUGAUGCUCUAAUCAUGGAUUGCUCAAAUACAUGUCCAACAUCCCGUACAUUAUAUCUAGACACAUACAAACUUGUGCAUACAUUAGACUCCCAAUUGUCGAUGCAUAAGGAAUCUUCUACAUCUCAUUUUCUUCACUGACUGAGACUAAACUUGUCACCCUUAUCUGCGGGGGUAUCUCAUCGUUUACUGUCUUGCAUGUCUUAUCUCUUGAGAAAAUUUUCAAUAUAGUCUUUUUGUGACAAUCCAAUAAUACUCUGAGAACAAUCAUAAUGUAUGAUGCCCAAUACAAAAGAUGUGUUGCCAAGAUCUUUCGUCUCAAAAUUCUUAUCUAGAAAUCUUUUGAUUUCUUGCAAUAAAUCUACAUCAUUGCUGGCAAGCAAAAUAUCAUCAUCAUAUAAAACCAGGAAAAUAUACUUGCUCCCACAUAACUUAUGAUAUGUACAAUCAUCAACCAAAUUUACCUUAAAACCAAACGAGAUGAUCACUUGAUAAAAUUUGGAAUACCAUUGCCGAGAUGUUUGCUUGAGUUCAUAAAUGAAUUUCUUAAGUUUGCAAAUCAUAUCCUUUGAAUUUUCUAAAACAGUUUUUUGGCUGCACCAUAUAAAUUGUCUCAAUAAUGUCACCAUUUAGAAACACAAUCUUUACAUCCAUCAGAUACAACCGAAGAUCAAAAUGCUCCACCAAUGCCAUUGUAGUCCUAAAAGAGUCUAACAAAGAAACCGGAGAGAAAGUCUCUAUAUAUUCAAUGCCUUUUUUCUAUGUAAAUCCUUUUGCGACAACACUGAGCUUUGUACCUUAAAUAUUGAGUUUCACACCUUGUGGCAAUAGGAUAAGAUCUCAAACGUCAUUGUCCUUCAUGGCAUUGAUCCACCUUUUAGAAUUUGAAUUUUCCAUGACCGCAUCAUCAUCAAUUAACUUUGUUUUUUCGAAAAAUAAUUUCCAAUAGAGCUGGAUUUCGAUGCCGGGGAAAUGAUGCCAUUGUCCCCAUAUAUCUUAGUCUAAAAAUUAGAAUCAAAUCCAUCUGUUGGUACACAAGCAAAUGUAAAUAGGAGGAAAACUUCAUUUUCGUUCAGACAAAUAUAAAGGAUCAGUUGUUUAGAUACUCUACAAAAAAUUCAUAUUUACGUACGAUCAAAUAUUUGUUUUGAUACUUUGUAAAUGGAAAUUGAUCAUUUUUAAAAUGAAAUUAAAUCUCAAAAUCAUUCAUUUUCACUUGAAGUAUAAUAUAACCAUCUAGAAUUCAGUUUCUCUCACAUGAUUCAUCUGCUAGAGCCUCAGAAAUCAAAGAUAUAAUUUGGAAUAAUUAAAAUUGUUUCUUUGAAUAAAAGAUAAUUUGGCUAGGCAAGGUGUUUUAAAUUUUGGAUUCUCUUGCUUGUGUUGGAGGUUGUGGUUGUGAUGAAAACAUUUAUUUUUUAAUGUCCUAUUUUUAGAUGAAUUUGGAAGUUAAUCUUAAAGUGGUUGAGCAUCCCAUGCGCUUUAUCAAAUAUAACUAGUGACCAUGCUCCACAGUUGUGUGGCUUUUGUUUAUCAUCAAAGGUAUCAAUGGAAAGGCUUCAAGUAGUUUGGCUAGCGUGCAUUUGACAAAUUUGGAAGAAACACAAUAAUAGAUUUUUUCAAAAAGAAUCAUGGGUAGCGGAUAUUGUGGAUAGGGGAAACUACAUUUGUGGUGGUUGCAUAAAACAAUUUCAAGACAUUGGUUAUGGUCUAAAUCAUUCGUGGUCGAACCCAAUUGAGUGCUUUCAUGUGUAAUAGUUAUUUUUUUCUUUGUUGUAAUUGUCGUUUUUUGGUUUUGAAUUUGAUAUUUUACUCUUGUACUCUUUUUUCUUGGGAUUAUUCUCAAUUGAGGUUUUGGUGAUUUGUAUCUUAGGUUGUUGAUGUUAUUCUUUGCGCCUCUUGUGCUUGAAUAGUUUUAAAUAUAUUUUACCUUUUUUUUAGAAAAAUCAUAACCAACUAGAUUGAUAUGGAGGAAACAUAGGUUGGCCAUAUUGUUUUCUUCAUAUGCAAUAAGUCAACAUUAGAAACGAAUAAGGGCACCAAUAUUGGUUUUAAACAACUUGCUCCAUCUCAUUUAUACAAUAGCACUUCUACUUCUAUAAGUGCCAACAAAAGUGCUAGCUAUUGCAAAUUUGCUUGCAAUCCAAGUAAAUAUGGCAAUUGGUGUUCAUGAUUGGGGAGACAUGAAGAGUCUCACCGUCCAAGUCAUCACCGGACGGUGGUUUGUCAUUUUUGCCUCCUUUCUAAUCAUGUCGGCUGCCGGAGCCACCUACAUGUUCGGUCUAUACUCCAGCGACAUAAAAGAAACACUUGGCUAUGACCAAAGCACACUAGACCUCCUUAGUUUUUUCAAAGAUUUUGGUAGCAAUGUUGGUAUCCUUGCAGGACUAAUCAACGAAAUCUCUCCACCUUGGGUAGUUUUAGCAAUAGGUGCUAUACUUAAUUUCUUUGGUUACUUCAUGAUUUGGUUAUCCAUAACAAAAAAAAUUGCAAGACCACAUGUUUGGCAAAUGUGUCUUUACAUUUGCAUAGGUGCUAAUUCUCAGUCUUUUGCAAACACCGGUUCACUUGUUACUUGUGUUAAGAAUUUCCCCGAAUCUCGCGGAGCUGUUUUGGGAAUUCUAAAAGGAUAUCUUGGUCUUAGUGGUGCUAUCAUCACACAACUUUACUCUGCUAUUUAUUAUAAUGACUCAAAGGCUUUGAUUUUGCUUAUAGGUUGGCUUCCUGCCGCUAUUUCAUUCGCUUUUCUUAGAACCAUUCGGUAUAUAAAACCUGUUCGACAAGUCAAUGAGCUUAAGGUUUUUUAUAAUUUCUUGUACAUCUCACUUGCUCUUGCUGGUUUCUUGUUGGUUAUAAUUAUUAUAGAGAAGAGUAGUAGUUUCACACAGGGUGGGUUCGGUUUAAGUGCUGCUGUGGUGAUUUUCUUGCUUUUUCUCCCACUUGCUGUUGUUUUUAUUGAAGAGAACAAGAUUUGGCAGAGUAAAAAACUUGCUUUGGUUGAUCCUUCACCAGUGAAAAUAGUAACAGAAGGUGAAACAGUAACUGAAACAGAAAAGGUCAACUCUGCUGUUUCAGUUUCAGUCCCAAAAAAAGAUCCAAAAUGGUGGGAAGAUGUGUUCAAUCCACCAGCAAGAGGUGAGGAUUAUACGAUACUUCAAGCACUUUUCAGCAUAGACAUGUUGAUACUAUUUGUGGCAUGUAUUUGUGGUAUUGGUGGAUCAUUGACAGCAGUUGAUAAUCUUGGUCAGAUAGGAACAUCACUAAGAUAUCCAAAGAAAAGCAUAAGCACUUUUGUGUCUUUAGUAAGCAUUUGGAAUUAUCUAGGACGUGUUUUCUCAGGAUUUGUUUCUGAACAUUUUCUAACAAAGUACAGAUUUCCUCGUCCUCUUAUGCUUUCUUUGACUCUCUUUGUCUCUUGUGUGGGACACCUUUUGAUAGCAUUUGAUGUGCCACAGGGUCUCUAUGUAGCUUCAGUUAUUAUCGGAUUUUGUUUUGGUGCUCAAUGGCCGUUACUUUUUGCCAUUAUAUCAGAACUCUUUGGACUUAAAUAUUAUGCAACUUUGUAUAAUUUUGGAAGUAUAACAAGUCCAAUUGGCUUAUAUGUGCUUAAUGUGGCGAUCACUGGUCAUUUGUAUGACAAAGAAGCUGAGAAACAAUUGGAAGCACUUGGAAAGCAAAGAAUAGAAGGGCAGGAAUUGAAUUGUGUUGGCGUUGAUUGUUUCAAGUUAUCUUUCAUUAUUAUUGCAGCUGCAACUUUCUUUGGUGCUGUUGUUAACCUUAUUUUGGUCGCUAGGACAAGAAAGUUUUACAAAGGUGACAUAUACAAGAGGUACAGAGAAGAAGCUGAAAUGGUGGAGGUAAAGAACGUGGGAAAGACAGAAGAAGGUGACAAAGUUGGCAGCAGCAUCGGCAUGCGGUGACAACUUAGAAAUAGGGCAAAUGGUUAAGGAUCAUAUCAUAGAUCAUAGAUCCACAAUUAAGUGUAAAUAUUAAAUUUUCCCUUAAAAAAGUGUAAAUAUGAAAUUUAAUAUGUUGUCAUGCAUAUUUUCUAUAUCUAUCUAAAAAGGGAAGACACGAUUUUGAGAUGACUUUUUCGUUUUCAAUUGUAUCUUUCAUUUAAACUAUUUUGUUUACAAUUGUAUAAAUUAAUAAUUAAAAACUAUGAAAUCUCAUUAAAAUAGGAACAGCACCACUACAAUAGAAAUUUAAAUCAUUACUUAAAAACUUAGUUAUGAACUUAUGAAUGACUAACCACUCACACUUGAAAACCAAUAAUAUUCCCCUCAAGUGUAAGUUUCCACCACUUAUACUUGAUCCAAACACUAGGAUCUCAAUCCUGCUCCCACCAAGCUGAAUUUGGGUUCUAAUACCACUUGUUGGGGAAAUAAGGGGAGCGACGAAAGCAAAAAUAAGUCAAUAUUCCCGGAGCAUAAUAGAGGUUGACACGACAUCUCCAUCCAAAACCUUAAGACAUUAGGUAUAUGAGUCACAUAUCUUAUAUAUCCAACAUUUUACACAUUUAUAGCAAUGUGCGACUAACCACUCAUACUUAAAAUCCAACAUUUUACCAGAGUUCUCAACGUGAUAUUAGAAUCAUAUAAUAUCCACCAUGGAUUCUCUAAUGCAUACCUUUUAAGAUAUUAUCAUCCUCUUCAUUCUAUCUUUGUUGUUUGCUAGCUACCAUUUAUUCUAUUCUUUUUCAUUCAAUGAAUGUUUUCUCUAAUAUGAAAAUAUCAUCAGGAUCAUGGAUAUUGCUCUCUCACAUCAAGAAACUCCACAAUAAAUAAUAUUAUGGGUGUUCAACAAUAAGCCUUUCUAGUGAAAGGUUUGUUAUGAGUGAUAUUGCUAUUUCUUUGUUUCACAGGUUUCUUGCCAAAAGUUCAUGUUUUUAUUCUCUUGUUGAAAUUUUUCAUGCACCCAAAAAAUAUGGUGGUAAGCUCCUUUAAUUCUACAGUAUGGAAGUCAAACUUUUUAAUUCUCAGUAUGCUUUUAUCAUGUCGUUGAGUUCAUAUGAUUGCUCAUUAUGGACACACUGCUCUUUUCAUAUUACUACUUUUAAUUUUAUUCCUGCUUUUAUGCAACCUUUUGUAAAUGUGAUGUUGGAGGUAUUCCUCAUCAGCAGCAGUUGAGUUAAUAAAUUACUAAUUAAAUUUUUUAUUUAUCAAAUUUUGUUGGUUUCAAACACAACUUGUAUCCAUGACAAUCUUGUUGACUAAAAGAUAUAUGUAUAAGAGAUAGAACUCAUGAUUAAUUUAUCCUAUUGUUUGCUGACUCAUCAAAAUAAAAGAAAUUGAUAGCAAUUUUAAUUUCUGUCUCCAUCUCUCUCUAUUUAAUUGAACAUACCUCAUUUAUAACAGCAGUUCACAGCUGCAGAGCUACUGCUAAAACUAAAACUAAGUAGUAAGCACCAACAAUAUGGCGGUUGGUAAUUCCAUUGGUGUUCACGGUUUAGGAGACAUGAAGAGUCUCACUGUCCAAUUCAUCACCGGACGGUGGUUCGUCAUUUUUGCCUCCUUUCUUAUCAUGGCAGCAGCCGGAGCCACCUACAUGUUUGGUCUAUACUCCGGCGACAUAAAAACAACACUUGGCUAUGACCAAAGCACACUAAACCUCCUUAGUUUUUUCAAAGAUUUUGGUAGCAACGUUGGUGUCCUUGCAGGACUAGUCAACGAACUCUAUCCACCUUGGGUAGUUUUAACAAUAGGUGCUAUACUAAACUUUUUUGGUUACUUUAUGAUUUGGUUAUCAGUCACCAAAAAAAUAGCAAGACCAAAAGUUUGGCAAAUGUGUCUUUACAUUUGUAUAGGUGCUAAUUCUCAGUCUUUUGCAAACACUGGUUCACUUGUGACUUGUGUUAAGAAUUUCCCUGAAUCUCGCGGAGCGGUUUUGGGAAUUCUUAAAGGUUAUGUUGGUCUUAGUGGUGCAAUAAUCACACAGCUUUACUCUGCUAUUUACUAUGAUGACACAAAGGCUUUGAUUUUGUUUAUAGGUUGGCUUCCUGCUGCUAUUUCUUUUGCUUUUCUUCGAACCAUUCGUUAUAUGAAACCUGUUCGACAAGUUAAUGAGCUUAAGGUUUUUUAUAAUUUCUUGUAUGUUUCACUUGGCCUUGCUGGAUUCUUGUUGGUUAUGAUUAUAAUCCAGAAGAAGAGUAGUUUCACACAGGGUGAGUUUGGUUUAAGUGCUGCUGUCGUUGUUUUCUUGCUUUUUCUUCCACUUGUUGUUGUUUUCAUUGAAGAGAACAAGAUUUGGCAGAGUAAAAAACAUGCUUUGGUAGAUCCUUCACCAGUGAAAAUAGUAACAGAAGGUGAAACAGUAACUGAAACAGAAAAGGUCAACUCUGCUGUUUCAGUUUCAGCUCCAAAAAAAGAUCCAAAAUGGUGGGAAGAUGUGUUCAAUCCACCAGCAAGAGGUGAGGAUUAUACAAUACUUCAAGCACUUUUCAGCAUGGACAUGUUGAUACUAUUUGUGGCAUGUAUUUGUGGUGUUGGAGGAACUUUGACAGCAAUUGAUAAUCUUGGUCAGAUAGGAACAUCACUAAGAUAUCCAAAGAAAAGCAUAAGCACUUUUGUGUCUUUAGUAAGCAUUUGGAAUUAUCUAGGACGUGUUUUCUCAGGAUUUGUUUCUGAACAUUUUCUAACAAAGUACAGAUUUCCUCGUCCUCUUAUGCUUACUUUAACACUCUUUGUCUCAUGUGUUGGACACCUUCUGAUAGCAUUUGAUGUGCCAGAGGGUCUCUACGUAGCUUCAGUGAUUAUUGGAUUUUGUUUUGGUGCUCAAUGGCCAUUACUUUUUGCCAUUAUAUCAGAACUUUUUGGACUUAAAUAUUAUGCAACUUUGUAUAAUUUUGGAAGUGUAGCAAGUCCACUUGGAUUAUAUGUGCUUAAUGUGAAGAUCACUGGUCAUUUGUAUGACAAAGAGGCUAAGAAACAAUUGGAAG
Molecule: long non-coding RNA, 8897 nt
Filed under: Medicago truncatula (barrel medic)
Lineage: Eukaryota; Viridiplantae; Streptophyta; Magnoliopsida; Fabales; Fabaceae
Description: long non-coding RNA (MTRU_LNC007877)
Source: RNAcentral